AUUGAACGCUGGCGGCAGGCUUAACACAUGCAAGUCGAACGGAGUGGCGCACGGGUGAGUAAUGUAUCGGAACGUGCCCAGUAGCGGGGGAUAACUACGCGAAAGCGUAGCUAAUACCGCAUACUAUUGGAGCGGCCGAUAUCGGAUUAGCUAGUUGGUGGGGUAACGGCUCACCAAGGCGACGAUCCGUAGCUGGUUUGAGAGGACGACCAGCCACACUGGGACUGAGACACGGCCCAGCCUCCUACGGGAGGCAGCAUGGGGGAAUUUUGGACAAUGGGAGAAACCCUGAUCCAGCCAUCCCGCGUGUGCGAUGAAGGCCUUCGGGUUGUAAAGCACUUUUGGCAGGAAAGCGGUACCUGCAGAAUAAGCACCGGCUAACUACGUGCCAGCAGCCGCGGUAAUU
Molecule: ribosomal RNA, 406 nt
Filed under: uncultured bacterium
Lineage: Bacteria
Description: partial 16S ribosomal RNA
Rfam family: Bacterial small subunit ribosomal RNA
Source: RNAcentral